AUUGAACGCUGGCGGCGUGCCUAACACAUGCAAGUCGAGCGGUAACAGGUGUAGCAAUACAUGCUGACGAGCGGCGAACGGGUGAGUAAUGCUUCGGAAUCUGCCCAUGUAGUGGGGAAUAACCAGCCGAAAGGUUGGCUAAUACCGCAUACGACCCUUGCCCACAAGGCAAAGGUGAAAGCAGGGGAUCGCAAGACCUUGCGCUAUUGGAUGAGCCGAAGUCGGAUUAGCUAGUUGGUAGGGUAACGGCCUACCAAGGCGACGAUCCGUAGCUGGUCUGAGGGGACGACCAGCCACACUGGGACUGAGACACGGCCCAGACUCCUACGGGAGGCAGCAGUGGGGAAUAUUGGACAAUGGGGCAACCCUGAUCCAGCGACGCCGCGUGUGUGAAGAAGGCCUGCGGGUUGUAAAGCAC
RNAcentral lists this ribosomal RNA (418 nucleotides) under uncultured bacterium. Its description in RNAcentral is "bacterial SSU rRNA". It matches the Rfam family "Bacterial small subunit ribosomal RNA", at positions 30 to 433 of the family's 1533-position model. The record is from RNAcentral.